RNAcentral lists this ribosomal RNA (478 nucleotides) under uncultured bacterium. RNAcentral's name for it is "partial 16S ribosomal RNA". It matches the Rfam family "Bacterial small subunit ribosomal RNA", at positions 31 to 507 of the family's 1533-position model. The record is from RNAcentral.
GAACGCUGGCGGCGUGCUUAACACAUGCAAGUCGAACGAAGCACUUUAUUUGAUUUCCUUCGGGACUGAUUAUUUUGUGACUGAGUGGCGGACGGGUGAGUAACGCGUGGGUAACCCGCCUUGUACAGGGGGAUAACAGUUGGAAACGGCUGCUAAUACCGCAUAAGCGCACAGCAUCGCAUGAUGCAGUGUGAAAAACUCCGGUGGUAUAAGAUGGACCCGCGUUGGAUUAGCUAGUUGGUGAGGUAACGGCCCACCAAGGCGACGAUCCAUAGCCGACCUGAGAGGGUGACCGGCCACAUUGGGACUGAGACACGGCCCAAACUCCUACGGGAGGCAGCAGUGGGGAAUAUUGCACAAUGGGCGAAAGCCUGAUGCAGCGACGCCGCGUGAGCGAAGAAGUAUUUCGGUAUGUAAAGCUCUAUCAGCAGGGAAGAUAAUGACGGUACCUGACUAAGAAGCACCGGCUAAAUACGUG